CGGGAUAGAUCACCACAGCUAGAGCCGUGAAACUUCUGGUAUUUUCGCGGCAUCAAGUGUAUAAAACUCUCUUCAUUCUCCGAUGGCUUAAACGCAGAAUCCACGGGUCCGGAGUCUCUCAGUCGGUUAAAAAGCUGUGCUUUCCCCCUUCUUUUGGAUAAACCUGGUAAAUUAAACCCCCAAAGAAUGGCCAGCUCUCUGCAGAGAGGCGCUCUGUAUCUCGCUCGAGCUAAUAGAUCGAUUCUCGGACGUUCACCUGGAUGGUUCUCUUCUUCGGACGCCUUGGUGGAUGUUAAACCAGGCGAGGUCGGCCUGGUAUCGGGGAUCCCCGAGCAGCAUCUUCGAAGAAGGGUAAUUACUUAUUCACCUGCUCGAACUGCAAUACAACAGGGCUCUGGAAAAGUUGGGAGAUGGAAAAUUGAUUUUUUGUUUACCCAUAAGUGGGAGAAUCCAUUGAUGGGUUGGACAUCCACUGGAGAUCCAUAUGCUAAUGAUGGUGAUGCAGGACUCAGUUUUGAUAGUGCAGAAGCUGCAAAGGCAUUUGCUGAAAAACAUGGUUGGGCAUAUACAGUAUUUUUCUCUAUAGCCUGUAUUUCUGCUUUAUAGAUGUGUAUGAAUCUGUCUUUGUAAUUAGUCUCCUUGAGCGCUAUCUUUUUCUGUUACCAUUUCCUUUGCCUCCUAAUUGUAAAACCCUUUAAUAAAUAGUUAUGGACAAUAGGCUGCUCGAUGGUUUCCCAGGAUAUACAUGAGCUGUAAUUUGGAUGUUGUUUCUAUGUUCCUCAUUUUCUUGUCUGAAGAAGAAAUAUCUUCAUAUGAUAUAGAAAUAGGCCUUUGUUUUAUGCAGAAAAGGAUCCUUGUAAAGGUUUUUUUCCCCUGAACUGCUUAUAUAUUUCUUUUCAUAAUUGAAAUGGGGUACAUUUUCCAUUCUUACAUAUAUUUUUUAUUAGUGAAUUUUUUCGAUUCAUUGAUCUCCAUGUUGCAUAUUCUUAAAACAACUUAAAAUCCUGUGCAGGUCAAGAAGCGGCAUACACCUCUUCUGAAGUUUUGAGCCUAUUCCUCUUCCCCUCGUUAAUCUAGCUGCUUUGACGUAUUCAAGAUGAAUAUGUAGAACAUGCAUGGACGUGUCUGCAAUGUUGGCUUAAGAUUGGGCUUAUUGUAAUUGUUGUCUUCUCUUUUGUUUCAUUUUAUUUAAAUAUAGGAAUUUUAUUUAUUUAUUUUUUUAAUAUUUACAGCCUAAGUCGUAUGCUGACAACUUCAAGUGGAAGGGCCCAGCAAAGAACAAGGAUGCUUAGUGUAACUAUCCAACAUCCAUUUGGAUGCUUGAAAGGCUGUCCUGGAAGCUUUUAUCUUAUUUGUUAAGCCUAGGUAUUGUAUUUAUUUGCUGUUCCAUGUUUGUGAAUGUAUCUUGCCAUUUCGGCCAAUUAAAAAAAAAUCAACUUUUCGUAUGGAAAAUGAUCGGGUUGCCUAAUUCUGUGUAAAAUUCUC
Molecule: unclassified non-coding RNA, 1485 nt
Filed under: Hevea brasiliensis (rubber tree)
Lineage: Eukaryota; Viridiplantae; Streptophyta; Magnoliopsida; Malpighiales; Euphorbiaceae
Source: RNAcentral